Molecule: ribosomal RNA, 254 nt
Filed under: uncultured bacterium
Lineage: Bacteria
Description: partial 16S ribosomal RNA
Rfam family: Bacterial small subunit ribosomal RNA
Source: RNAcentral
GACGGAGGGUGCUAGCGUUGUUCGGAAUCACUGGGCGUAAAGGGCGCGUAGGCGGCCUUGCAAGUCGGUUGGUGAAAACCCGGGGCUCAACCCCGGAGGUGCGGCCGAGACUGCAGGGCUGGAGGCCGGAAGAGGAGGGUGGAAUACCCAGUGUAGAGGUGAAAUUCGUAGAUAUUCGCAAGAACACCAGUGGCGAAGGCGGCUCACUGGUCCGGUACUGACGCUGAGGUGCGAAAGCGUGGGGAGCAAACAGG